This 518-nucleotide long non-coding RNA is filed under the name Catagonus wagneri (Chacoan peccary). RNAcentral's name for it is "lncRNA (ENSCWAG00000010472.1)". The record is from RNAcentral. Lineage: Eukaryota; Metazoa; Chordata; Mammalia; Artiodactyla; Tayassuidae.
CAGCCGGGCGCCCGCGUCGCUGUCGCCGCGGGAAGACAGACGCCCCCCAAAGCCCCUCGCCUGGCUCGGACCCACGGAGCCGGCAGACCAGCACUCCGAUGGGAGCUUGCCUGCCUGUCUACCCAUUGGCCUGGACCCCAGAGCCUGCCCAGCUGAGUGCUUGCAGAGGGCCCCGGGUUCGGGGCAACUCUCAGGCCACCGAAGAGAUCACCCUGGAAUCACUGGCCAAGACAGGCCUUUCCUGUUGAACCGGGCCUGUCUACACAGCCUGCUCAGGCGCUGUCCACGCCCCGAGGCCUGGGCUCAGGCCGAAGUUGCUCCACAGCACCCCCAGCUGACAGCCAGCGACUGGCAGAGCCCCCAGGCCCGGGGGCCCUCUCUCUUCCAGAGAUCGCCAGUGUGACAGCCCAGGCGGCAGAGCCGAGGGUCCCGGUCCCGGCUUCUCGCACCCUCAUGUCAGCCCCGGCCCCGCCCGGCGGCCCGCGGAGGACAAGGUCAGGAUGCGUGUGAAGCCCCAG